Molecule: long non-coding RNA, 855 nt
Organism: Heteronotia binoei (common prickly gecko)
Lineage: Eukaryota; Metazoa; Chordata; Lepidosauria; Squamata; Gekkonidae
Exons: 3
Source: RefSeq, a predicted model, not a curated record
GGGGUUUAUGGAGGAGUGGGACCUCAGAAGUAUAUAAUGCCUUAGAGUCUACCCUUCAAAGCAUUCAUUUUCUCCAGGGAAAUUGUUUUUUGUGUGUGUUUUGUUUUUAUGUUUUAAUGUCAAGUUUUGUAGAGUAAAGUAUUCCCUUUUACCUCAGAGUCAACUUGGAGCAGGUUGCUGUAGGAUGAAAUGGAGAGGAGAACCAUGUAUGUUACUUCAGCUCCUUGAAGGAUGGGUGGAAUAAAACUACAAUAUCGAGAUGACAAGGAUUCAACAGGUGAAGCAGCUCCCUGCUGUGGUGGCAAAGACUCUACCUGUUUAAUUUCUAUCUGUCAUGCAGCUGUUGGUGGCAAAGGAGACCUGGCUGGACAAAAAGUAAAUUGUAUUUUCAGUUACAAAUGAGCAAAUCACAGUGAGCCUUUAGUUUGGCAGCUAAUGUAACUUCAUACCUCCUAAAAUUAAAAUUCUUCAUGCUAGUCAGUAAUACAGGUAUCACUGCUUCAUAAUAGUGUGUUGCACCCUCAGGAAUAACCACAUAUUCAUGCAGCAGACAGUAGCAUGGUACUAGCUAUGUUGUUUAUUCAGAAAAUAGUUCUAUACCAGAGAACUUCUUUAUUUUAAGCUACAUAGCACCUAUAAACAUUUUGCUUUCAGCUGCAUUUUAUUUUCUUCUACUCAUUGCUGAAAUGUGUUAUUAAGCCUUGUAAGUGGAUAUUUUCAUGAUGGCUCAAUUCUCUCUCUUUGCUGCAUUCAGAUAUGAAUGCAAUUUUGAGUUCUGCUCUUUUAAAUGUUUUAUUUAAAACACUUUGACGAUGUACCAGAAAUAAACAUGAGAGCCUACCUAUGAUAACAUAA